Molecule: non-coding RNA, 1213 nt
Organism: Leptonychotes weddellii (Weddell seal)
Lineage: Eukaryota; Metazoa; Chordata; Mammalia; Carnivora; Phocidae
Source: RefSeq, a predicted model, not a curated record
GCAGCUUUAAGUGCCUUGAAACAAUUUUCUGAACAAGGACUGGAUCCAAUGGAAGGGGCAAUGAAUAUUGAAAAAGGUUCUCUUGAAAAACAAGCCCAGCAUCUGGGAGAGAAAGCGGACAAUAACCAGACACACCCGGGCUCCAUCGCUCAGGACUGCAAGAAAUCAAAGUCGCUCAUCUAGCAGCUCCCAGAACCGCGGCUGCCACCGCAUCCUUAUAAACCUGUCAGCACGCAUGAGGGUGUCUGUGUUCAAGGAAAUGAAUGACUAAUACCAUUAUUUGAGUCUUACGUGAAGACAACACUAUUCUAACACGAGAGAUAAUAUACAUAGCACUGUUUACUCAACUGGGGAAAAAUAAAACUUUGAGCGUUUCCCUUGGAACUUGAGAUCAGAUCAUAACUCAUUGGCCCAGAGGCAGCAGAAAUCUGAUCCUGCUACUGGAGCUUAAAAUAACAGUUAGUGAGAAGUGUUAGAAACAGAGGUAAAAAUUUUAAAUGAUUAAUAGAGAAAUCGGGUUUGGUUCUGUUGUUAUGAUUGUUUUGUCGUGGCGCUUGUGUUCAGUUCUACUCUCUCUCUCUCUCUCUCUCUCUCUCGUUUUAAAUAAUGCUUGAUGAUUCAAAGAUUAACCAAUGACGUGCUGUGGAAUGUGAUGGUUGUUGUCUUCAUAUAGAGUCACGCGGUUUCUCUUUUUAUGCCGAUAUUUGUAAUCUUCAUCCUGAGUAUCAAUAUGAGUAACUUGAAGGCGCACGCCUCAAAGAUGUAUGCAAACAAGCAAGGUUUAAAUCAGGUCAGAUAUUUUAUUUAAGAUACGAAAUAACGUUAGGAACAACUCGUUUCAAUGUACUCCGGGAAUCGAGCGAAACCAGCCCGCUGUGGGUUCUGAGCUCCGCAAUACUAGGAGCCACUAAGGAGGCGUCUUGCCUCCACACCCCGUUUCUCUGGCUUCCACGUUCUGCCGUGGAAAUCGCACCCAGCCUCAUCCGUGUGUCGUAGCCACUCACUGUUUUGCCUCGAGCGUGUUCUUAGUAGCUGCCUCUGGACUCGGGACGGUGCGGAGGAUCAAAGAAACCCCGUCCGAGGCGGGCCAGCGAAGGCCCGGCCGAGGAGCCGUCCGCGUCUUGCCGGCUUGUAGCCAGCCACGCUCGGGACCAGCAUGGUGGAAUCCGGCGUGCCACGAAUGCAGUAAAAAUGUGGUCGGUUUCUGUGUGAA